RNAcentral lists this long non-coding RNA (3455 nucleotides) under Trifolium pratense (red clover). RNAcentral describes it as "long non-coding RNA (TPRA_LNC001437)". Lineage: Eukaryota; Viridiplantae; Streptophyta; Magnoliopsida; Fabales; Fabaceae. The record is from RNAcentral.
AGAGCUAGACUCUGGCUUAUAAAGCCAAUGGCUUGUUAGAGAAAGAUAUUAUCGAUGUUUCUGGAGUAGAGCUAAGGGUAUCUUGUCCUGAGCAAGCAGGUAUAUUUGAUCAUCUCCUUUUUGCUUAAAGAGAACCUAGAAUAUUGAUGUUGAAAGUAACUGCUAAGAUGAAUAAUUGAUUUACCACUAUCAUAUACUGAAACCACCAACAUGACUUUUAGGUGACAUUAUUAUUAUCUUGAGAUAGGGAAAAAAUACUUAUUGUGUUAAAAACCUAUCCAUGAUCAGUAACUGAAACAAAGCUAAAAUCUCCGAAGAAGCAUUCUUGUUCCAUAAUUCAUAUAAAAUUAUGUACACAUUCAUUCUCCCAAUAUUUCAUAUAAAGUUGAUUUUCAAAGGUAGAGACUUGGUGAAGAUAAACUCUAGAGAAAUAUUACUACUUUUUGAUCUUCAUGUAAAAUGAAAGCUCUUACAACUUGUAAUAGUUAAAAGACCAAACUAAAAAAAACUUCAUUUAUUGCUCUUAAUCAUUAUAAAUCCUUUCUUUUAUGGUUCUUUCUGUUUCUAUCUUAUGUUUUCAGAGUGGUAAAUUAACACUGAAGAAUGAUGCCAUCGAAGCUCUUGUAGACACAAGGACACUGAAGAAUGAUUGAUGCCAUCGAAGUUCUGUGAACUAUAAUGUGAUGACAGAUGAGAAGGUUGUGUUGAAGUUUCUAGUGCAGAGCUGUGUAUAUUGUUUUAAAAGGUAUUCUUGAUCAUCUCCAUUCAUCUUCACUCUUCAGUAAUUUAUUUCCACUAUCAUAUACUGAAACCAUCAAUAGAUUCUUAGGUGACAUCAUUUUCUUAUAAGAUAUAGGAAAACUAUCAUUAAUGUUGAGGUAUUGAGAAUUAGUAUCUUAUACUGAAUGGAGAUGAGUAAUUUGACAUGGGGUUUAUAGUGUUAAGUGGAAUGAGUAAUUUUGUAGUGAAAUGCUGAAUUUUAUUGAUUGAAAUAAGUGGAUACAAAGAUACAAGAACAAAGCACAACAGUGCAGUGCUUUUAGCUAAACCCUAGAGGACUAGCCUAGUUUCUCUAAAGAAACUUACACAUAUGCUGAAUUUUUCUCACAAUGCCUUCUACCAUUGUAGAUGGCUUUAUUUAUAGGCCAAAGGCCUCUUUCCACUAAAUUCCUAAACUAUUAUUGUACAUUAUUACAUUUGGUUCUUUUUGCACGAACCACUAUUCACCACAUUUUUUAUUUUUUUUUGCAUGAUUCACUAUUUAUCACUAUUCAUGCUAUUUGUAUUUAAAUGGUAUUUCAUGCAUGUAUGCCACGUCCAUCUUUACUCUUGUAACAUGGCAGAUCCAUUUCCUUCUUCAAGGCAUUUGUUUUCUUCCUUACACUUGUCAAUUGCUUCAGAUUUUUCUUGCAUACAUCUUCCACAUAAGUGAUCCUUACUAACUUUUAUGCUUUUACAUAAUUCAUUGAGGACCCACUCUUUGUAAUUCAUCACCUUUUUGUCCAAUGAAUAAAAGGGGAAUUCAUAACUUGCCAGAGAUUGAAUAUUUCUAUCUUUAAGUACUUUCCCUCCAGUUUUACUUAAAAGAAGGACAUUUGAAUUUUUGUGAAGGAUGUUUAUGCAUGACAUUUUCCCAAGAGAUUGACACUGGGAAAAUAUACUUGAAAGCUGAUUAACUAAUAUUCUAUCAUAUGUUUCUUCAUUAUAUACAUUUCCAGUUGGUUCUUCCAUUAAUGGAAAAUUAUUAUUGCUAACUCCAACACAGAUGAAAUGCUUGCUGAAAAGCAUUUCGUGUCUAGCUAUUUUCGUUCCCCCCACCCACACACACACACUAGCUAGAACAUUCAUUUAUAAAACAUCUACUUACCUUAGGCUUUGUUUGCGAGUUGGUUUUUAGAGGGGAGGGAAGGGGAGGAUUUUCUUUUCUUUUUUAAAUUAAGAAAAAUGUUUUUUAAAAUGAUCUAAUUGGUUAUUGAAGUGAACCCACUUGGGUUGGUGCAUUGGUAUUGGCUUGGGACUUGGGAGUGUGCUCCUCUUGAGGUCUGUCGAUUUUCUCUGGCGCCAAUUUGGGUGGGCUAAUUUAGCUUCUUCAAAAAAAAAAUUGGUUAUUGAAGUGUAUUUCAUUAAAGAGACCUUUGCAUUUAGUUCUUCAAAAACUAAGAAAAAGGUUAAAAUAGAAAGUGAGUUCUUCAUUCACAUACCAUCUUUUGGUCUUAAUUGAAAAAUUAUUUGAGUAGUUGAACCUUUUGUUCUGCAUAAUCUUACUAUGAUAAUACUAUUAUAUUAUUAAAUGAACUUGAUAGUAUACUUUAGACCAAAGUUCAUUCUUUUUCAUUAGCAAGUACAAUAACAAAUUAGCGUGAUAUGAAUUUAUAACACAUCAGAUAAUGGCAGAUCUAUAAAAGUUCAAUGGAUACAUGGUCAUUGAUUUUGAGCAAAUGGCUUAUUUAAACUUUACCCUGACAUUUGUAUCUGUUUAAUGCUUUAUUAAGAUACUUAACUUUUUUAUUUUUGAAACAAUAUUAAGAUACUUAGCUAUGUUCAAUUCAAAGCAUAAUUUAUUUACUUGUAGUUAUAGUUUGAUAAAAGUUAUAGAAACAGAUAGAACCCUCCUUGGCAUAUAUUUAUAGACUUGCUGAAAAUCAAAUUUAUUGAUCAAUACAAACUUAAGUGAUUCCACUUAUCACUUUAUUUUGGGACAACAUACACAUAAUGUUGUUUCUUAAAGAGCUGUAAGGCUUAACUAAACAUAAAGCUCAAUAAGUGAUCUAAAACCGAAUAUGGGAAAGAUUUUAUAGUGUGUGAACCCUGAUUUUGUGAAGAUUUGUUUCCAGGUUUUUCCAUCUCUUUCUCUUCCAUUAAAACUAGCCAUCAUAACUAUGUCAAAGAAGAGCUUGACUUCUGUCAUUUCAUGCUUAUCUUGCUUUUCAUUUAUAACAAUAUCUAUUAUGAUCACUUUUCCUCCUUUGCCUUUUCUUAAUACAGCUUCUUUGCAUUUUUGGAGUAUCUUGACACAGUCAUCAUCACUCCAGUCAUGCAAAAUCCACUACAAGUGAAACAAAAUAAAAGUCUGUUAGAGAGACUCAAUGUGUAGUUUUUUUGUGUAUCAAUUAUUAUAUCAAGUAAUUAAUCUAAUGAGUAAUGUCACAACAAUAAUAUUCUUAGUUAGAUGGCAGAAAGCAAGUAAUUUGAUAGACUAGUCAUUUCCUAAUUUUGCAUACCUUGAGUAAAACUGCAUCAGCUUGAGGGAUAGAUUCAAACAUGUUUCCGCCAAGAAAACUCAAAUUUUCAUUUCCUGAUAAGCCUGCCACAACUUGUGGAAGGUCUAACACUGUGCAUUUUAACAUAGGAAAUUUCUCGCAAAUAAUUUUAGCUGUGUUUCCAGUUCCACCUCCGACAUCAACCAGAGAACCGAAGCCUUCAAAAACUGAUUUGCAAUCACUCAGUGCCAAUCU